GGGUCUAUAGCUCAAUGGCUAGAGCCACCGGCUCAUAACCGGUAGGUUCCAGGUUCGAGUCCUGGUGGGCCCA
Molecule: transfer RNA, 73 nt
Filed under: bacterium
Lineage: Bacteria
Also listed under: 2 other names
Description: tRNA-Ile
Rfam family: tRNA
About the family: Transfer RNA (tRNA) molecules are approximately 80 nucleotides in length.
Source: RNAcentral